This 441-nucleotide ribosomal RNA is filed under the name uncultured bacterium. RNAcentral's name for it is "bacterial SSU rRNA". It matches the Rfam family "Bacterial small subunit ribosomal RNA", at positions 958 to 1399 of the family's 1533-position model. The record is from RNAcentral.
AACGCGAAGAACCUUACCUACUCUUGACAUCCUGCGAACCUAGCGUAGCGGCUGGGGUGCCGAAAGGAACGCAGAGACAGGUGCUGCAUGGCUGUCGUCAGCUCGUGUUGUGAGAUGUUGGGUUAAGUCCCGUAACGAGCGCAACCCUUGUCCUUAGUUGCCAGCAUUUAGUUGGGGACUCUAAGGAGACUGCCGGUGAUGAACCGGAGGAAGGCGGGGACGACGUCAAGUCAUCAUGGCCUUUAUGAGUAGGGCCACACACGUGCUACAAUGGGGCGUACAGAGGGUCGCCAACCCGCGAGGGGGAGCCAAUCCCUUAAAGCGCUUCGUAGUCCGGAUUGGAGUCUGCAACUCGACUCCAUGAAGUUGGAAUCGCUAGUAAUCGCGAAUCAGCAAUGUCGCGGUGAAUACGUUCCCGGGCCUUGUACACACCGACGCGUA